GUCUUCAGGGAGUCUUUAUUUUUCUUGUGCACUGCUUGCUUGAUCGGCAGGUGAGACAGGAGUACUACAAAGCUUUCAGGAAGAUCCAUACCGGCAAAAACAAACUUGAUGGGAUGUCCAGUAACACUGCACCGAUUACCCUAAGAAUUAUUGACACAUCAGAAGGAUCAAAAAAUCUCUCUGUCACAGAAGAAGGGACAUGUUUCAGAAAAGAACAGUAAUGAUCUGAAUAAGCGCCUGUAUUAAAUCUACGAGUGUGCUCAUUGCUUGCUGGGAAUAAGCCACUUUUUAUCAAUAUGG
Molecule: long non-coding RNA, 300 nt
Organism: Bombina bombina (fire-bellied toad)
Lineage: Eukaryota; Metazoa; Chordata; Amphibia; Anura; Bombinatoridae
Exons: 3
Source: RefSeq, a predicted model, not a curated record